This is a long non-coding RNA of Drosophila montana, 324 nucleotides long. RefSeq lists it as uncharacterized. NCBI's taxonomy places the organism in Eukaryota, Metazoa, Arthropoda, Insecta, Diptera, Drosophilidae. The record is from RefSeq and is a predicted model, not a curated record. The transcript is spliced from 2 exons.
UGCCAAAUGGCUGUAACUGUAUCUGUGUGCAAAUUGUUUACAAAUUGCCUGUGAAAAUGGAAAUGCUUCCCUGACGUCAUUUGGAUACUAGUGCCACGCCUUGCGGCGCCCCGUUCAGAAUCACCUGGCAUUUGCAUAGUGUUCACAAACGUAACAAUUGUCCGUCAUUGGUUUAAGCAGUUCCUGUCAAACUGUACAUGGGCCGGCGAAUACUUACCGAAGAACAAAAACAAACACGAGUUCGCUUUGAUGUUUACGCAGCCUCCAGCAGAAACUUUGAACUUGAAUUGUCCUUUCUGGCGGCGGCAGGGUAUGUUGUUCGGC